UACGAGAGGGGCGAACGUUGUUCGGAAUUACUGGGCGUAAAGGGCGCGUAGGCGGCCUUCUAAGUCGAACGAUGAAUCCCCGGGCUCAACCCGGGAACUGCGUCCGAUACUGGAAGGCUUGAAUCCGGGAGAGGGAUGUGGAAUUCCGAGGUGUAGCGGUGAAAUGGCGUAGAUAUCAAGGAGGAACACCAGUGGCGAAGGCGCCGCUCUGGGCCGAUGGACUGACGCUGGAGGAGCGAAAGCGUGGGUAGCAAACAGG
Molecule: ribosomal RNA, 259 nt
Filed under: uncultured bacterium
Lineage: Bacteria
Description: partial 16S ribosomal RNA
Rfam family: Bacterial small subunit ribosomal RNA
Source: RNAcentral